UUGACAUGCAGAGAACUUUCCAGAGAUGGAUUGGUGGCCUUCGGGAACGUCUGACACAGGUGCUGCAUGGCUGUCGUCAGCUCGUGUCGUGAGAUGUUGGGUUAAGUCCGUAACGAGCGCAACCCUUGUCCUUAGUUACCAGCACGUUAUGGUGGGCACUCUAAGGAGACUGCCGGUGACAAACCGAAGGAAGGUGGGGGAUGACGUCAAGUCAUCAUGGCCCUUACGGCCUGGGCUACACACGUGCUACAAUGGCCGGUACAAAGGGUUGCCAAGCCGCGAGGUGGAGCUAAUCCCAUAAAACCGAUCGUAGUCCGGAUCGCAGUCUGCAACUCGACUGCGUGAAGUCGGAAUCGCUAGUAAUCGUGAAUCAGAAUGUCACGGUGAAUACGUUCCCGGGCCUU
This 404-nucleotide ribosomal RNA is filed under the name uncultured Pseudomonas sp. RNAcentral describes it as "bacterial SSU rRNA". It matches the Rfam family "Bacterial small subunit ribosomal RNA", at positions 981 to 1382 of the family's 1533-position model. Lineage: Bacteria; Pseudomonadati; Pseudomonadota; Gammaproteobacteria; Pseudomonadales; Pseudomonadaceae. The record is from RNAcentral.